GAUGAACGCUAGCGGCAGGCCUAAUACAUGCAAGUCGAGCGGCAAGUCGAGGAGUAAUCUGAGACCUAGAGCGGCGUACGGGUGCGUAACGCGUAUGCAACCUACCUCAUACAGGGGGAUAGCCCGGAGAAAUCUGGAUUAAUACCCCAUAGCACAGCACAAGUGCAUCUGCGAGCUGUUAACGAUUCAUCGGUAUGAGAUGGGCAUGCGUCUGAUUAGCUAGUUGGCGGUGUAACGGACCACCACGGCGACGAUCAGUAGGGGUUCUGAGAGGAAGGUCCCCCACACUGGCACUGGGAUACGGGCCAGACUCCUACGGGAGGCAGCAGUAGGGAAUAUUGGGCAAUGGACGAGAGUCUGACCCAGCCAUGCCGCGUGCAGGAAGAAGGCCUUCUGGGUUGUAAACUGCUUUUAUCUGGGAAGAAAAGGCCCAUGCGUGGGACAUUGCCGGUACCAGAUGAAUAAGCACCGGCUAACUCCGUGCCAGCCGCCGCCGUAA
This 499-nucleotide ribosomal RNA is filed under the name uncultured bacterium. Its description in RNAcentral is "partial 16S ribosomal RNA". It matches the Rfam family "Bacterial small subunit ribosomal RNA", at positions 28 to 523 of the family's 1533-position model. The record is from RNAcentral.